GACGAGGUGGCCGAGAGGUCAAGGCGAUAGAAUGUUAAUCCAUUGGGUUCUGCCCGCGUGGGUUUGAAUCCCAUCCUCGUCG
This 82-nucleotide transfer RNA is filed under the name Rhipicephalus microplus (southern cattle tick). Its description in RNAcentral is "tRNA-Asn". It matches the Rfam family "tRNA". Rfam says of the family: Transfer RNA (tRNA) molecules are approximately 80 nucleotides in length. Their secondary structure includes four short double-helical elements and three loops (D, anti-codon, and T loops). Further hydrogen bonds mediate the characteristic L-shaped molecular structure. tRNAs have two regions of fundamental functional importance: the anti-codon, which is responsible for specific mRNA codon recognition, and the 3' end, to which the tRNAs corresponding amino acid is attached (by aminoacyl-tRNA synthetases). tRNAs cope with the degeneracy of the genetic code in two manners: having more than one tRNA (with a specific anti-codon) for a particular amino acid; and 'wobble' base-pairing, i.e. permitting non-standard base-pairing at the 3rd anti-codon position. The record is from Rfam by way of RNAcentral. Lineage: Eukaryota; Metazoa; Arthropoda; Arachnida; Ixodida; Ixodidae.